Long non-coding RNA from Papaver somniferum (opium poppy), 1850 nucleotides. RefSeq lists it as uncharacterized. The record is from RefSeq and is a predicted model, not a curated record. The transcript is spliced from 6 exons. Lineage: Eukaryota; Viridiplantae; Streptophyta; Magnoliopsida; Ranunculales; Papaveraceae.
CGUUACAAAACAAUUAUGACUCAUUCCUCCCCGCAUAUUUACAGUUUUAACUCCUUCUCCCUUCAAUUUUCAAGCGUUACACAAUCAAAGAUCCCAUUACCAGCACCAUAGUUUCUUCUAAUCAGUUUCCCGUCAUACGUUACAAAUAAAAAAGAUCCCCAUUAACAAUUCCAUUAAGUCUGCUAAUCAAUCCCUGAAGCUCCCAUUACAUAAACCUCAAAAGUCAAAAGUGGAAAGAGGUUAUCUUUCAAAGAUUUUUGCUGGACAUAUUGGAAAUACCGUCUUUUGCAAAUAUUAGAUGAUUUUUGAGAAAAGAACCGGCAUCCAUCUCAGUUACUGGGUGGUCGGAUGGCCUUUAUGUUUCUCUAACAAUAGCCGGGAGCAGGCUUGGGGGUUCGAGUAAAGGGACUCAGGCAGCAGUAAUGAAUCUAGGCAAAAAAGUGUUCAAGUACCGUCUUCAACACAGUCAGCUUGCUCUCAAGUAAGUCUUUUUGUCUCUCUUUGUGUGUGUAUGUUGCUAUGGAAUUUUAUAUAUCUUGAAUAAGAUCUGAACUCGAUCAUAUAUUAGGUGCUUUAAAAUGUGUUCUUUAAGGUUUUCUUUUGUACUGACACUUUUAUUUUGCAUUCAUUGAUGAUCAUGUAUGUAAAAGGUGCACGAUAUCUUCCACAUAUUACAUUUCGUCUAACCCCAUAACUACUGCUAUAUUUUUACCAAUGUUUUUAUGAUUAAGGCCUGGGAAAUGUGCAUGUUUCCCUAACCAUAUUCAGGUCCCUUUCCUUCUGGGUAGCCUUUUAAUCUCAUUCAUGUAAUCUCGGUUGUUUCAUUUAGCAGUGGUGUGCUGACAUAUUUACAUUGUAGUUCAGGAAUGUUAAUAUUUUCUAUCCGUUUCUGUUGGAACUAAGCUCUCUAGUUUUCAAUGCUCUCCAGACUGUUACAAGUUACCAUGCAAUUGAAAUUUACUUGAUGGAGGUGUACUCAUUGGGUGUUCAACAUGAGUAGAAAACUCUGAAAAUUCUCAUAGCCAAGCUCAGCCUAUAUGGCUUGUGUACCUAAAAGAUAAUUUCUUUAUACCCUGUACUUUCACCCCAAGCCUUACUCCAGGACAGUUAAAAUGAGUUUGCAAUGCGCCACCAAUUUUCAGUUGCAGGUUGGUUAGCCGUGAUGAGCUCCUGGGCGAGCUUGCAUGAGCCAGAUGAGUUAACUUCACUUUUUUCGUGUGUUUCCUGCGAAUGUCACCAUGAGUGUUUAGGCAUAAUGUUUUCUUUGACAACUCUCAGGAAAAAACUACCACAGAUGUUUUCACGUUUAACCAAAAUAGCUAAAACUACUGUGCAUGUGCCGAAGCCGCACAUAAGAACUGCUGUCACAGGUGGCACAGUAAUUUAAGUAAACGAUACAAGUUCUGGAAUGCAUGUAAUGCAAGGUUAUUUACAAUUUGGUUCCAUCUUAUAUUUGACUUGCAGGUUGUUGGUUUCAGUCAUUUAGUUAUGAAAACCAUAGGAUUCACAGCCACCAGUUGAAAAGAUCACAAAGAUACCAGUACUAGAAUGCAUGUUAUAAAUCUCUCUGCUUUCAUCUCCAUGAUUUUUCAACUAAAGUAACAUAAGAUGCAUGCUUAGAAGUUGCAACUAAAGAUUUUGGUUGACUUUUUCCACAGGAAGACAGUUUAGCUUUCUUGGGCUCGGUAUUGUAGUUCUUGAUUGCAAUUUUCAUUAUCGAUUUGUCUAACUACCAUUUUAGGGUGCUAGCCGGCGCCUAAUCAAGGUGUAUUAAGAACGAAUUGGGAAGAAUGUCAUAAUCAUAGUGACAACUACAUUUGCUUCAAGAGUAAUGAAUUUCUAUUAAUCAA